CAGCCGCCGCGGUAAUACCGGCGGCCCGAGUGGUGGCCGCUAUUAUUGGGCCUAAAGCGUCCGUAGCCGGGCUGGUAAGUCCUCCGGGAAAUCUGGUCGCUUAACGAUCAGACUUCCGGAGGAUACUGCUGGCCUAGGGACCGGGAGAGGCCGAGGGUAUUCCCGGGGUAGGGGUGAAAUCCUGUAAUCCCGGGAGGACCACCUGUGGCGAAGGCGCUCGGCUGGAACGGGUCCGACGGUGAGGGACGAAGGCCAGGGGAGCGAACCGGAUUAGAUACCCGGGUAGUCCUGGCGGUAAACGAUGCGGACUAGGUGUCGGGCAAGCUAAGGGCUUGUCCGGUGCCGCAGGGAAGCCGUUAAGUCCGCCGCCUGGGGAGUACGGCCGCAAGGCCGAAACUUAAAGGAAUUGGCGGG
This 414-nucleotide ribosomal RNA is filed under the name uncultured microorganism. RNAcentral describes it as "bacterial SSU rRNA". It matches the Rfam family "Archaeal small subunit ribosomal RNA", at positions 459 to 872 of the family's 1478-position model. The record is from RNAcentral.